CGCACAUUGCGCCCGGUAGUACUCUACCGGGCAUGCCUGUUCGAGCGUCAUUUCAACCCUCAAGCUCUGCUUGGUGUUGGGGCCCUACGGCUGCCGUAGGCCCUGAAAGGAAGUGGCGGGCUCGCUACAACUCCGAGCGUAGUAAUUCAUUAUCUCGCUAGGGAGGUUGCGGCGUGCUCCUGCCGUUAAAGACCCAUCUUUAACCAAGGUUGACCUCGGAUCAGGUAGGAAUACCCGCUGAACUUAA
RNAcentral lists this unclassified non-coding RNA (247 nucleotides) under Coniochaeta sp. RNAcentral's name for it is "partial contains 5.8S ribosomal RNA, internal transcribed spacer 2, and large subunit ribosomal RNA". Lineage: Eukaryota; Fungi; Ascomycota; Sordariomycetes; Coniochaetales; Coniochaetaceae. The record is from RNAcentral.